RNAcentral lists this ribosomal RNA (565 nucleotides) under Henneguya bicaudi. RNAcentral's name for it is "bacterial SSU rRNA". It matches the Rfam family "Eukaryotic small subunit ribosomal RNA", at positions 927 to 1440 of the family's 1831-position model. Lineage: Eukaryota; Metazoa; Cnidaria; Myxozoa; Bivalvulida; Myxobolidae. The record is from RNAcentral.
CUGCCAGGACUAACAAAUGCGAAGGCAUCUGUCCAGACCGUAUCCAUUAAUCAAGAACGAUAGUGAGAGGUUCGAAGACGAUCAGAUACCGUCCUAGUUCUCACCGUAAACUAUGCCGACCCGGGAUCAGUUUGGAGUAAAAUAUAAACGCUCGAGGUUGGUCCCCCUGGGAAACCUAAAGUUUUUCGGUUGCGGGGGGAGUAUGGUCGCAAGGCUGAAACUUAAAGGAAUUGACGGAAGGGCACCACCAGGGGUGGAGCCUGCGGCUUAAUUUGACUCAACACGGGAAAACUUACUUGGUCCUGACAUCAGCAGGAUAAUCAGACCGACAGAUCUUAUUUGAUUUGAUGAUUGGUGGUGCAUGGCCGUUCUUAGUUCGUGGAGUGAUUUGUCAGGUUAAUUCCGGUAACGGACGAGAUCACAUUCUCCAUUUGACGAGCUAGAGUAGAUGUUGAUUCACAAGUGUAUGUGGUAAAACAUGUGCAUUUGUGACCGUUGGCAUUGUAGGCAGUUGGUUGGAUGCGUUGCGUUGUUGCAUUGGUGGAAACAUUGGUGUGGCAAUGUC